GAUGAAGAACGUAGCGAAAUGCGAUACGUAAUGUGAAUUGCAGAAUUCAGUGAAUCAUCGAAUCUUUGAACGCAUAUUGCGCUCUCUGGUAUUCCGGAGAGCAUGCUUGUUUGAGUAUCAGUAAACACCUCAACUCCCUUUUCUUUUUUGAAAUUGGAGCUGGACUUGAGUGAUCCCAACGCUUUCUUCCAAGAAAGUGGCGGGUUGCUUGAAAUGCAGGUGCAGCUGAACUUUUCUCUGAGCUAUAAGCAUAUCUAUUUAGUCUGCCUAAAAAACAGAUUAUUACCUUUGCUGCAGCUAACAUAAAGGAGACUAGUUCUUGUGCUGACUGAUGCAGGAUUCACAGAGACAGCUUCGGCUGACUUUGUAAACUCGAUCUCAAAUCAAGUAAGACUGCCCGCUGAACAUAAGCAUAUCAAUAAGCGGAGGA
This 430-nucleotide unclassified non-coding RNA is filed under the name soil metagenome. Its description in RNAcentral is "partial contains 5.8S ribosomal RNA, internal transcribed spacer 2, and large subunit ribosomal RNA". The stretch from base 1 to 120 matches the Rfam family "5.8S ribosomal RNA", at positions 35 to 154 of the family's 154-position model. The record is from RNAcentral.